UGGGGAAUUUUGGACAAUGGGGGAAACCCUGAUCCAGCCAUCCCGCGUGUGCGAUGAAGGCCUUCGGGUUGUAAAGCACUUUUGGCAGGAAAGAAACGUCGCGGGUUAAUACCCCGCGAAACUGACGGUACCUGCAGAAUAAGCACCGGCUAACUACGUGCCAGCAGCCGCGGUAAUACGUAGGGUGCAAGCGUUAAUCGGAAUUACUGGGCGUAAAGCGUGCGCAGGCGGUUCGGAAAGAAAGAUGUGAAAUCCCAGAGCUUAACUUUGGAACUGCAUUUUUAACUACCGGGCUAGAGUGUGUCAGAGGGAGGUGGAAUUCCGCGUGUAGCAGUGAAAUGCGUAGAUAUGCGGAGGAACACCGAUGGCGAAGGCAGCCUCCUGGGAUAACACUGACGCUCAUGCACGAAAGCGUGGGGAGCAAACAGGAUUAGAUACCCUGGUAGUCCACGCCCUAAACGAUGUCAACUAGCUGUUGGGGCCUUCGGGCCUUGGUAGCGCAGCUAACGCGUGAAGUUGACCGCCUGGGGAGUACGGUCGCAAGNUUAAAACUCAAAGGAAUUGACGGGGUCGAU
RNAcentral lists this ribosomal RNA (575 nucleotides) under uncultured bacterium. Its description in RNAcentral is "partial 16S ribosomal RNA". It matches the Rfam family "Bacterial small subunit ribosomal RNA", at positions 355 to 923 of the family's 1533-position model. The record is from RNAcentral.